CAAGGCUAAAUACUCCUGACUGACCGAUAGUGAACCAGUACCGUGAGGGAAAGGCGAAAAGAACCCCGGCGAGGGGAGUGAAAAAGAACCUGAAACCGUGUACGUACAAGCAGUGGGAGCACCUUCGGGUGUGACUGCGUACCUUUUGUAUAAUGGGUCAGCGACUUAUAUUCUGUAGCAAGGUUAACCGUAUAGGGGAGCCGCAGGGAAACCGAGUCUUAACUGGGCGUUAAGUUGCAGGGUAUAGACCCGAAACCCGGUGAUCUAGCCAUGGGCAGGUUGAAGGUUGGGUAACACUAACUGGAGGACCGAACCGACUAAUGUUGAAAAAUUAGCGGAUGACUUGUGGCUGGGGGUGAAAGGCCAAUCAAACCGGGAGAUAGCUGGUUCUCCCCGAAAGCUAUUUAGGUAGCGCCUCGUGAACUCAUCUUCGGGGGUAGAGCACUGUUUCGGCUAGGGGGUCAUCCCGACUUACCAACCCGAUGCAAACUACGAAUACCGAAGAAUGUUAUCACGGGAGACACACGGCGGGUGCUAACGUCCGUCGUGAAGAGGGAAACAACCCAGACCGCCAGCUAAGGUCCCAAAGUCACAGUUAAGUGGGAAACGAUGUGGGAAGGCACAGACAGCCAGGAUGUUGGCUUAGAAGCAGCCAUCAUUUAAAGAAAGCGUAAUAGCUCACUGGUCGAGUCGGCCUGCGCGGAAGAUGUAACGGGGCUAAACUGUGCACCGAAGCUGCGGCAGCGACACUAUGUGUUGUUGGGUAGGGGAGCGUUCUGUAAGCCUGCGAAGGUGGCCUGUGAGGGUUGCUGGAGGUAUCAGAAGUGCGAAUGCUGACAUAAGUAACGAUAAUGCGGGUGAAAAGCCCGCACGCCGGAAGACCAAGGGUUCCUGUCCAACGUUAAUCGGGGCAGGGUGAGUCGACCCCUAAGGCGAGGCCGAAAGGCGUAGUCGAUGGGAAACAGGUUAAUAUUCCUGUACUUGGUGUUACUGCGAAGGGGGGACGGAGAAGGCUAUGUUAGCCGGGCGACGGUUGUCCCGGUUUAAGCAUGUAGGCGGAGGU
This 1063-nucleotide ribosomal RNA is filed under the name Klebsiella aerogenes. RNAcentral describes it as "partial 23S ribosomal RNA". It matches the Rfam family "Bacterial large subunit ribosomal RNA", at positions 461 to 1531 of the family's 2925-position model. Lineage: Bacteria; Pseudomonadati; Pseudomonadota; Gammaproteobacteria; Enterobacterales; Enterobacteriaceae. The record is from RNAcentral.